UACGGGGGGUGCAAGCGUUAUCCGGAAUCACUGGGUUUAAAGGGUGCGUAGGCGGGACAUUAAGUCAGUGGUGAAAGUCUGUUGCUUAACAAUAGAAUUGCCGUUGAUACUGGUGUUCUUGAAUUGGGUUGAGGUUAGCGGAAUGUGACAUGUAGCGGUGAAAUGCAUAGAUAUGUCAUGGAACACCAAUUGCGAAGGCAGCUAGCUGGGCCUUGAUUGACGCUGAGGCACGAAAGCGUGGGGAGCAAACAGGAUUAGAUACCCUGGUAGUCCACGCCCUAAUCGAUGCUAACUCGAUGUUUGCCUGUAAUGGGUGAGCAUCCAAGGGAAACCGAUAAGUUAGCCACCUGGGGAGUACGACCGCAAGGUUGAA
Molecule: ribosomal RNA, 373 nt
Filed under: uncultured bacterium
Lineage: Bacteria
Description: bacterial SSU rRNA
Rfam family: Bacterial small subunit ribosomal RNA
Source: RNAcentral